Molecule: ribosomal RNA, 643 nt
Filed under: Proteus mirabilis
Lineage: Bacteria; Pseudomonadati; Pseudomonadota; Gammaproteobacteria; Enterobacterales; Morganellaceae
Description: partial 23S ribosomal RNA
Rfam family: Bacterial large subunit ribosomal RNA
Source: RNAcentral
CGAGUCUUAACUGGGCGAAUGAGUUGCAGGGUAUAGACCCGAAACCCGGUGAUCUAUCCAUGGGCAGGUUGAAGGUUGGGUAACACUAACUGGAGGACCGAACCGACUAAUGUUGAAAAAUUAGCGGAUGACUUGUGGAUGGGGGUGAAAGGCCAAUCAAACCGGGAGAUAGCUGGUUCUCCCCGAAAGCUAUUUAGGUAGCGCCUCGUGAACUCAUCUUCGGGGGUAGAGCACUGUUUCGACUAGGGGGUCAUCCCGACUUACCAACUCGAUGCAAACUGCGAAUACCGAAGAAUGUUAUCACGGGAGACACACGGCGGGUGCUAACGUCCGUCGUGAAGAGGGAAACAACCCAGACCGCCAGCUAAGGUCCCAAAGUCAUGGUUAAGUGGGAAACGAAGUGGGAAGGCUCAGACAGCCAGGAUGUUGGCUUAGAAGCAGCCAUCAUUUAAAGAAAGCGUAAUAGCUCACUGGUCGAGUCGGCCCGCGCGGAAGAUGUAACGGGGCUAAACCAUGCACCGAAGCUGCGGCAGCGAACGUAUCACUUAAAUUUGUUUGAGUGAAUAACGAUUGACGGAACGAAGUGACGUCAAUGCGUUAAUGAAAGUCGAGGCGAAAGCACGACAAAGCGAAUUUAAGGAUA